This 90-nucleotide transfer RNA is filed under the name Deltaproteobacteria bacterium. RNAcentral describes it as "tRNA-Ser". It matches the Rfam family "tRNA". Rfam says of the family: Transfer RNA (tRNA) molecules are approximately 80 nucleotides in length. Their secondary structure includes four short double-helical elements and three loops (D, anti-codon, and T loops). The record is from RNAcentral. Lineage: Bacteria; Pseudomonadati; Myxococcota; Myxococcia. RNAcentral also lists the same sequence under 2 other names.
GGAGAGGUACCCAAGUGGUUGACGGGGCCUGACUCGAAAUCAGGUGUACGGGUAACCGUACCGUGGGUUCGAAUCCCACCCUCUCCGCCA